GUACACUCCUACGGGAGGCAGCAGUGGGGAAUAUUGAACAAUGGGCGCAAGCCUGAUCCAGCCAUGCCGCGUGAGUGAUGAAGGCCCUAGGGUUGUAAAGCUCUUUCACCGGUGAAGAUAAUGACGGUAACCGGAGAAGAAGCCCCGGCUAACUUCGUGCCAGCAGCCGCGGUAAUACGAAGGGGGCUAGCGUUGUUCGGAUUUACUGGGCGUAAAGCGCACGUAGGCGGACUAUUAAGUCAGGGGUGAAAUCCCGGGGCUCAACCCCGGAACUGCCUUUGAUACUGGUAGUCUUGAGUUCGAGAGAGGUGAGUGGAAUUCCGAGUGUAGAGGUGAAAUUCGUAGAUAUUCGGAGGAACACCAGUGGCGAAGGCGGCUCACUGGCUCGAUACUGACGCUGAGGUGCGAAAGCGUGGGGAGCAAACAGGAUUAGAAACCCCUGUAGUCCCAUGAU
This 454-nucleotide ribosomal RNA is filed under the name uncultured organism. RNAcentral's name for it is "partial 16S ribosomal RNA". It matches the Rfam family "Bacterial small subunit ribosomal RNA", at positions 331 to 801 of the family's 1533-position model. The record is from RNAcentral.